Long non-coding RNA from Homo sapiens (human), 663 nucleotides. The record is from Ensembl. Lineage: Eukaryota; Metazoa; Chordata; Mammalia; Primates; Hominidae.
GAUUACAACUGCUCUUAGGAUGAAGUGACUGGAGCCCAGAUACCUUAUUUAGCAAUCAGUGCUCGGCACAAGGACUUGCUGUGCCAACGAAAAGGAAGCGAGGCAUUUUGGCUAGUCACCGCGUUUUUGCUGCGUCACAGGGAGACAGAAGAUGGGCUGCUAUUUCGUCGGCUAAAUGCUAUCAUUUUAAGCACCGUUCCAAAGAAAACAGGGAUCUUGCCAGAGGAAAAUAACAUAUACCAUAAAGGAAAAAGAAAUGUGCAUCAAGGCAAAUAAACAGCUCUCUACUAAGGGCCUAGGAUCUUGCUAGACGAGUCAUUUCUCUGGUUGAAAAGCAGUUGAGAAAGGCAAGACAAGGGGGGCGGGGGCCCAGCAGGGCACCUCUGAGCCCUUCCUGCUGCUCUUCAAAGACAGACGCAUUUUCCUUUCUACGGUCUCCUUGCAAGUCUUCUGUAGGCCCUGCCACCUUCAGGCUGACUGACUGCCUCCUUCAAAUAUCAGCAUUUGGAAGGGUACUGGGGAGUCGACACCCUCAUGUCUGUGAGCUGACUGCAGGACGUCUCCUGUCCAGGUGCUGGCACCUCAUCUAACAUUUGAAGGUAAAAGCAGCUCUGGCCUCCUGCAGGUGCAAGGACCCGGGAGCCGCUCUGUGGGCUGGGCUCA